AAUAAGAUUAUUUUUCAAUUUUUUGAUACAAUGUUUUAACUCUUCGUCUUAUUUGAAAUUUUUUUGCGAUUAAUAUUUUUUUUCUUACUAGAUGAUAAAAUAUGAGUAGUACUUUAUGCGUGACUAAUUUUUUUUUAAGUUUCUAUAUAAAAUUUUCAAAUAAGACGAAUGAUCAAACGUUGGGCAUGGAAAAAC
RNAcentral lists this microRNA precursor (195 nucleotides) under Oryza brachyantha (malo sina). Its description in RNAcentral is "MIR812 microRNA precursor family". It matches the Rfam family "MIR812 microRNA precursor family". The record is from Rfam by way of RNAcentral. Lineage: Eukaryota; Viridiplantae; Streptophyta; Magnoliopsida; Poales; Poaceae.